AGCUCGAUGAAGUUAGAAGGGAGUUGGC
This 28-nucleotide non-coding RNA is filed under the name Bombyx mori (domestic silkworm). The record is from RNAcentral. Lineage: Eukaryota; Metazoa; Arthropoda; Insecta; Lepidoptera; Bombycidae.